UGUGAGAGCAAGAGCCCGGAGAUGGAUUCUGAGACACGAAUCCAGGCCCUACGGGGCGCAGCAGGCGCGAAAACUUUACAAUGCGAGAAAUCGUGAUAAGGGAACCCCGAGUGCCCGUAAAUUCGGGCUGUCCGCCAGUGUAAAUAACUGGUGAAGAAAGGGCCGGGCAAGACCGGUGCCAGCCGCCGCGGUAAUACCGGCGGCUCGAGUGGUGGCCACUAUUACUGGGCUUAAAGCGUCCGUAGCUGGAUUGUUAAGUCUCUUGGGAAAUCCACCGGCUCAACCGAUGGGCGUUCAGGAGAAACUGGCAAUCUAGGGACCGGGAGAGGUGAGAGGUACUCCAGGGGUAGGAGUGAAAUCCUGUAAUCCUUGGGGGACCACCUGUGGCGAAGGCGUCUCACUAGAACGGCUCCGACAGUGAGGGACGAAAGCUGGGGGAGCAAACCGGAUUAGAUACCCGGGUAGUCCCAGCUGUAAACGAUGCGCGUUAGGUGUAUCGGUGACCACGAGUCAUCGAGGUGCCGAAGGGAAACCGUGAAACGUGCCGC
RNAcentral lists this ribosomal RNA (548 nucleotides) under uncultured archaeon. RNAcentral describes it as "bacterial SSU rRNA". It matches the Rfam family "Archaeal small subunit ribosomal RNA", at positions 275 to 827 of the family's 1478-position model. The record is from RNAcentral.